GUGGUGGAGGGGCUGAGCGAGGCGUUGGAGAGCUCCGAGGCUGGCCCCGAUGGCGUCCCCGUCUGCAGUGCCGCCUCGGUCGACUUGUCCACGCCCGUGUUUUCCUGCCGGUUCCAGAGCUGACCUAUACUUUCCAAUAUCAUAGCCACUACCCACAUGUGGCUACUGGGCACUUGAAGUGUGACUAGUCCGUAAGUGAAAACACACAACAGAUUUGAAGGCAGUACGAAAAGAAAGAAGCCCUGAGCUAACUACUGCCAGUCCUCCUCUUUUUUCCUGAGAAAGCCUGGCCCUGAGCUAACAUCCGUGCCCAUCUUCCUCUACUUUAUAUGUGGGACGCCUACCACAGCAUAGCGUGCCAAGUGGUGCCAUGUCUGCACCCGGGAUCCAAACCGGCGAACCCCGGGCCACUGAGAAGUGGAAUGUGUGGACUUAACCGCCGCGCCACUGGCCCGGCCCUCAUGUUGCAUUUCUACGGGACAAGGCUGUUCUGGAAGAUGUGUACAAACCAAAUCUUGAUCACUUUUCACAAUGCUUGAGAGAUUCGGGUUUUUCGGCAGUCGCCUUUAAGCAGACAAUAGAUCCCACAAGUUCAUGUGCGUACAAUUUUUAAAGUGUUUCAUGGUCAGUAAGCCUGGGAAAUAUUAGACUGGUGUAAAGAACACAUAGGAACCAGUCCAUCAAGAGUUACUAAGAGGAAGAAAAAGACACAGAUCCGACUCCCCACCACCAUCAGCUGGAGGAGCCACCCAGGUAUCCUGGAGUCCCGGUUUCAGGUCUCAGGGUGGGGUGGGCAGAGGGGAAACAGCUGCCGAGGUAAACCAAGGCCAAGGAGGUUGUGGCCUGCAGAUUCCCCCUCCCGACCUGCCCCAGCCCAGGAGGGUUUAUGAGGGCGGUGGGGUGAGUUGCACAGUUAGAACUGAGCUUGGUAAGAAAAGAACACCAGAGCGAGAGAAUAAGAGUCUCCAUUCAUUUUUCCUUGGGUGCAGACACACACACAUCCACACCUGUACCUUUGCACACGAGCCCCCCCGCCCCCAAGUGUGCCCACCCGUCUAAAUGCACAGACACAUCCAGCUGUACCCAAGGUCCUCGAAGUACUUUGGGAGAGGCCUAGGAAAUCCAGGCCACUGGGCGGGGUUGGGGCAUUGGGGGCUUGUAUUUCCCAAAGAAAAAAGCCUGAAAGCCUGGGCCCCUUCACUUCCCUUUGCGUGAGGAAAACACCCGCCAGAAGCCUCCCCAUAAAACAGAGGGCCGCGGGGAAUUGUACAGAUUCUGGGGUGUCCAGUUGCAUACUUCCAGAUGUGCCUGCAUCUGCCUGUCUUCUCAGUGUCUCAGACAGGGGUGGGAAGGGCCGACUCGCGGCCCCACCCUCCCCCGGGAACCACCCCAGCUACAGGGGCCUGAGGCCUCAAACACGCCUUUUUGGUGGCCUAACACAAUUUGGCCUCAAUUAAAAAGCAGAGCCGAGAGGAUCCUGGGGAGAGGAGGGAGACUCGGACCCUGCGAAGUGAGGAAACAAACUCUCUGCCCGGCUCCCCGGAUCUUCCCAGGAAGGAGGCAUUUUCCCUGGCCUUCUGCCCAAAGCAAGCUCAUCGCCCCUUCUAGAGCAAAUAAGUCCAGUGCUUCUAAGACCACCCUCAGCGUGCUCUUCUUGGAGUAGAGGGUCUUUCCCUGCCCAGCCUGCAGAAAUCUGCAAGAGUGAGACUCUGUGUCCGUAUGGCCCACGGAGAAAACGGAUGGAGAAAGCCCUCAGAGAGAGGACGUGACUUCCCCAAAGUCUCAUGGCAGGUCGGAUCAGGAAGGCUGGAGCCUUGGUGCCACCUUUGCCACUGUCUGGGCCUGAGUGUGUGUGAUCCUGGAGCAUCUCAUGUGUCUGACUCUGCAAGUAGUAGCUGGAGCAGGGAGCCCAGGGGUGGUGCACCGCUCAGCGGCCUGGGGCUCCGAGCCCUCGGGAAGGGCUGGAACCAGUUAGCUGCCGGCUGUUUGCUAUUUCUCCGGCGUUGCCCCUAACAGUGGUUUGUAAACAAUGACACCAUCUUCUACAACUGCCUUCUCUGCUUUGCUGGAUGUGAGGCGCUGGGAAUCUGAUGGAUGAAAAUCAACUCGACUAAAAGCCAGGCUGCUGUGGGGUUUUGUGUUGGAGCUAUUGUUCACCUUAAGCGGGGCUUCACCAGAAUUCUCUCCCAGGUAUUUCAGAAAGUCCCCUUCCAAGAGGUUGUUGAGGCAGGGAACCUAAGUCAUGUUCAUGUCCCAGGGACAUGGCACAGAGACUGGCAAAGAUUCAGAAUCUGUCAUAUGCAUUGAGAUAAUAGUAAUCAUAACAGAUAACAUUUAUGGACCCCUUACUAUGUGUCAGACCUCAUGCAUGCCACACUCUAACGUGCAGUCACAGGCCAUGUCUGUGAUAAGCCAAGUCGGGGGGUACUAUAAUUAGCCCCAUUUUAUAGAUUUAAGACCAGAGAGGCUCAGAGGGGUGAAGUCACUUGCCCAAGGUCACACAGAGGCCAAGCUGAGACUGAAAUCCAGGAACCCAGGAUUAUCUGCCAUAAAAGGUCCAUGCUCUCCUUAACACACGCUCCUGAGUCAGCAAGCGAAUGAAUGAAUGAAUGCCCGAGUGAGCGAAUAAACACAGAAGCAGCUGUGAUGCCGCAGAAAGAGCACUGGACGCAGCCUCCAGUUCUGGUUCUGCCACUGACCAGCCAAGUAAUCCUGUGCUGGCCCACUACCUCUGGGCUUGCCUCAGUUUCCCCACCUGUACAAGAGGGUUGGGCCAUACCACGUGAUGUCACACCAUCUCUGCGGCCUCUUUGCUUUCUGAUGGGCUGGGGUUCUAGGGCAACUGCCAAAGGAAGGAAGGACGAUCUGCUCUUCCCACCCAUCUUCUUACACCCACGGCCCUCUCUCUUCCUCUGCGGGGAGCGCCUUAGCCUGGUGCCCAGGGGAGCCUCGAUAAGUCCUGGGUGGGUGAGGAGGCCCACAUUGCCACAUGCUCUCUCCUCAGGCACCAAGUGGCCCUGCAGGCUGUGUUUUGCCUACAGCCCCAACUUCCCCAGAAUCCUUUCAUCAAAGAGGCCAGGAGGACCAGUGGGAAACCCACUUCGCCUCGCAAAUCCUCUCACGGGUCGCUACGGAAACCAGACAAAGCUUCCUGCCCAAAGAUGUCCCUCAUGGCAUUCUUUUACAACAUCAAACUAAUGGCUGCAUCCAAAGUGUCUCAUCAGAUGGGGCGAGCGCAAGUCACAACAACCAUCCUACACAUCACAAAGGAAAUGUGACCGAUGUUAUGUGAGGAAAAAAAUAAAAAAAUGAUGUCCUCUGGUAUUGCAACUUCAUAACAAAGAUAAGAGUGAUGAAUAGUAUUCAUUCAUUAAGUGCCAGACACCCUCUAAGUAAAGUUCUACGCAUUUCACACUAUUAACUCCGACAAGGUAAGCACUAACUCAUUGCCAGGUGAGGAGACUGAGGCACAGAGCCCAGCCAAAGAAGUCGAGCUGAGAUGUGAAUCCCAGCCCUCACCCACCACUUAACCUCUCCACUGCACACCUGGGGUACUGCUUUCUGUGCUUUUAUAUGGGUGAUUUUUUUCCCCUAUUUUUCUAACCUAUCUGUAUGGUGGUUCUAUUAUUUUAUAAACUUGUUAAAAAGUUUUUUCAAAGAACCAAAAUCAACAAGCCCUGGACUGGACAUCUUGAAUCCUUGGUUCCAGCUCCAGGGCUACAACUGCUUUGCUGUGGGGCCUUGGACAAGUCACUCUACUUCUCUGGGCUUCUAAGAGUUCCCUAUCUUCUAAAAUGGGAGAUUUGGGCCAAAUCAUCUAUGAAACUCCAUCCAGCCUCAACCAUUGAUGCCUAGGUCAGAAACUCCCCAGAGCCUGUGCAAAUGACAGAACAAUGCUCACUCUCCCCCAUUUCACAGGUGGGGAAGCUGAGGCUCAAAGAACUGAUGUGACUGGCCCUAACUUAAACCUCACCUCCUCAGGGAAGCCACUCCUGACUGCCUCCUUCACCAGGUCAGGUCCCUGUAUUAUCUGCUCUCAUUUCACUCCCGUGUUUUUCCUUUCUGGCACUUCUUCUAUUUUAUUUUUGUCAAGAGUCAAAUAAGGGUUCUGUGGCCAAAUAAAUUUGGGAAAUGUUAGAUCAGAAAAAUCUGAAUCUCUUCAGGAUUUCUCAGUGACUGUAUUAAUGCUAACGUACUCUGAUCGCCAAGAAAAAGACACCAAUCUUUACCAUUUCCCAAACUUAUUUGGACUCAGAAUCAGUUAAAAGAUACUUUUAUUAUGAGAUAUUUCAAAUAUACAGAAAAAUACAGACAUGAAUCUUAUCGCCAUUUUAGUUAUUUAUACAACAUCUUAUUGCCCAUCUGUCUCCCUUCUGGAUCGUUCGUUUCCACGGGCCCGUUCACUGUAUGGGUGACCGCUGAGUCCUUGGUGCCUCACGCCCCGCCCAGCACACGGCCGAAGGCCGGUGCGUCGGAGGAAGAAGUGAGCGGACAGAGGAAAUCCGGUGUCCUCAGUUCCUGAGUUCUCACACAGGUUAAUGACGAUCACUAGUUGUCGUGAAGAUGCUUACUUCUUGAUGAUGACUUAAAAACAUCACGGUGUUUAAAAACAUCAUGAAGAAUGUCUUUAAACUGUUGACGGUUAAAAUAUAUUUUCUUUCAAAGUCACACCAGGAACCCCUAAGGAGAUGUCACCCAUCCAAACCAAUCUGCGCACGACCCCCUCCCCGAGUGCAGGGCAUCCUGAUAGGCUGCCUUCCUGAUCCUUCCCCAGGAAGGGAGAGAGGCAACGCGGAGGGGCAUCGUGUCCUGAGGGGGAGUCUCCAAGCAUCUGCAAAGCUCAGUGUCUUAAUAGACCUGGGUCCAAGGGGCCAUUGUGUCUCCUGGUCACCUUCCCCGCUGAAGGCAAAUGAGCAUUGUGGCUGUCACGCUGCUGCUGCUGAGAACUGUGAGCAUUUUUCAUGCCCUUAGGGCUUUACAACAGGAUUCCUGCUUUCCUACCAAGACAUGCCAUCUAUGACCCACUGCGUCCCCUCUCUCCCACCUGCAAUGCUGCAUUCUGCAGCUAGAUGGGGGGUGUGGGGGGGGGCAGGCAGGAAUCACAAUCCCCACGCUGCGCUAUGUGGGGAAGAGCUACGCAAUCAGACCAAUCUGGGCUUGACUCCUGGCCUCUUCACUUACUAGCUCGAGACUCAGGGCAAGGGUCCUAGUCUCUCUGAACCUCAGUUUCCUCAUCUGCAAAAUGAAAAUAAUUAAAUUUUUUAAAUGGGUGCAAAAGAGGUUGGUAGACUGAAGCCUGCUGUGUAAAUGUGUGUGUGAAAUUCAUGCGCAUUGAGUCCCUAAUAUACACUUUAUAAAUUACACUUUAUGUCACCUCCACUACUCCUUGCAACCACCUACUGAAGUGUUAUUAUCAUCCCCAUUUUAUAGCUGAGGCCACUAAGGCUCAGAGAGGUUAAGUCACUUGCUCAAGAUCACUCAGAGCAAGUGGGAGAGCUGAGUCUGGACCUCACAUCAGCUAAUUCCAAAUUCCAGCAGGGAUCCUGCAUGCCAAGCCUACCACGGUGGUGCUUAUGCAUUACAGAUUCAGUAACAGCCUAGAACCCCCUCCACACACACACACACACACACACACACACACGCACGCACACAUACAUCCUAUAUCCUCCACCUCUGGGAACAGAGCCUCAACCUCAACCUGCGCCUGCCAUGCAGACUCUCUCUGAGGUGGACCACAACCUGCAGGGGGCACCCAAGGCCCAGUACCAUUAAGCUGGUGUGGACAAGUAACAAGGAACCAUUUCAUGGGCACCUAUUUUGUGCCAGCAGGCAUCAUGCUGGAGCCUCCCCAUUCAUUGUCUCAAUCCUCAGGAAUCCUCAAGGUACAGACUACUAUCACCUCCAUUCCACAGAUAAGGAGUCUGGCUCAGAGAGGAGAAGUUAAAGUCAUUACUGGUAAGUCAGACAGGACUUGAACCAGUCUGUUACCUUCCAAAGCCACGCCACCAGCUGCCUCACCCCAAAUUGCUCCCAUGCCAUCCACCCUAGCCGGCCUAUCAGCAGUCAGGACACCUGGGAGAGAGCCCCUCCCAGCCAAUGUCCGGCUCCUGUAACCUUGAGCAAAUCACUUCAUCUCCCUGGUUUUUAAGCUUCUCGUCUGUAAAAUGGGUGGGCAAAUAUCAAGGUAAGGGAGAUGAGUGGCUGGGAAGAGAACACUUUGCAAACUGCCACACAAUCAUGAGCACUUGUGCUAUUAGGGGAUCUGAAGGACGAGUGCAGGCGAUUCGGAGGUCUGGGAGGAGGGCGAACAGCAGUCUGGUAUGCCUUAUGGAUGUGACCGCCCCCACCCCAACAACACACAGGCCUUUGGUGGUACUCACACUCAGAGGCAGUCACUGCUGGGCUGGCUCAGAGGAGAAAGCAAUGCCCAUUGAUCAGCUGGAUUUGGACCCAGCUCUGCUACUUACUAGCAAAGUGUGACUCGGGGCAAGUGGAAAUCAACUGGGCCUCAGUGUUCUCAUCUGUACAGUGGGGGAGGACGGGUCACAACGCCUGAUAGUGAGGACUCGGUGAGGAAACGUGUUUCACUGGCCUUUCGAAGUGCCUGCCACACAGUGAGCACUCAGACAUUUACUGAUAAGUAGACACCCCAUAACUGUCGGUGCUUCUCUCCCUCAGGGGGCCCCGCACCCCUGGCUUUUCUGAGUCCACAUGGCGGAGGGAGCAUGCAGGUGUGAGCCCCAGCCCAGCACUCUACGGGGAAGGGGACAGGGCGAGUGCUUGCCCAGGUCCCUCAGGUGAAUCUUUCCUCACACAUAGGGUAGUCGGCCCCUCCCCAGGUCUCCCACAGAAGCCCCUUCCAACUGAUCACCCUAUGGGGAAACUGACUGUGAGUCUGUCUCCACACCUGACAGGUGAAUUUCUUCAGGGCCAGGACUGUGGUUCAUUCAUCUCUGCGUCCCUGGGGUCUAGUGCCCAUUGAUAUUUGGUCAGAUGAAAGGAUGAGAGAGAACUAUGCUAGAAAUCCUAUUUGCUCCUAAAUCAGGUAACCAAGCCUCCUGCCUCACCAAGGCCAGCAGAGACUGGCUCCUCACUCCAGAUUCAGAUUCAACUACAGGCACUUACUCUUUAUUUCAUUUAAUCUGGAUCACUGGGAGAGGUGUGUGUCCUAAUGGUGUCCACUUUACAGAUGAGAGAGCUAUGGCUCAGAGAGGGUAAUUAAUUUGUCCAAGACACACGGCCAGUGAGCAGAGGAGCAGAAUCGAACCCAGGGCUUCCUGAACCCAGCUCUGCCUGACACUUCAAGUCCCUGCUCCUGCCCCCGCCUGCUCCUAGAGGUUGAUUCAUGGAACCUCCCCCGACCCCAACACAUCAUAAGGGCAUCUACACGGGAAGGAUCAAA
Equus caballus (horse) is the source of this 7402-nucleotide non-coding RNA. NCBI's taxonomy places the organism in Eukaryota, Metazoa, Chordata, Mammalia, Perissodactyla, Equidae. The record is from RefSeq and is a predicted model, not a curated record.